GUUGUUUAAUAUUAUUGGGCUUCAUUUCAGAUGUUUUGUAAGGUCCAGAAGCCCGUGUGUGAAACCCUAAUCUGAUAGCGCGAGACACGUGUGUUCUUCUCUCCUCUGCGUUCGGCGGCCACAGUGACGCCUGAGCUUUCUUCACAAUUUCUGAAACGGUGUGCGUGAAUGUUGGAGUGAAAGCUCAUGGGCUAGCGAAGAAGAUUGGUUUCUUCCCGGCAGUUAGGGAGGAGACGGUGACUGUUUUAAGACCACCGUAGUGGGAUCGAGCUAGGAGAGAGUGGACUCAGGGAGUUUGAGAUGGUGGUUGAGGGAGAGAUUAGGAGAGAGGCCAUGUUUAUGGAGGUCGGGAAGAGGAAUGGUUUGACAGAAUAUGGUGUUACAUAUCCUGGUGUAACUGAGCAGUCGUGUCUUAUCCUUUGGUCUCCACAUACCGGCGAAAGAAAUCCGGAGACGUUAAACAAGUGCGUUGAGUCCAAACGUCGUCUAUAACACCAUCAUUAACAACAACUUCCCAGUCCUCUGAUGAUCUCUGCAUUUUUGGGAAGCAAAUAAUGUGAAUAAGGGUGGUGAUCUCAUGGCUGUUUAUAUUGCUUUGGUGGAUGAGAAGUUACAACAUGGUCAACUCUAGGACAAGAGAAACAAGAGCACAUGUGACUCCUUCUUGGCAUGUACUUUGAAUCAUUGCCACUUCUUAGGAUUUCUCACGCACACAUCAGAGAUAUUUUUGUGUUGCAAUUGGCAGAGGAAAACAAGCCUGCUAAAACAUAAGGUACUGUGAAUGUGUUUGCUACAAUCGUACUAUGGCAUUAUGUGUGGUCUGAAGCUGUUAUAACUAACUUCACAAGGGACCCGACAAGUAGCUUAUGAAACCACGAAGAGCUUCUACGGUUAAUGGGAUUGAUGAUACUGAUUCACAUAAUAAAUGGAGUUAUAGCUUUAAUUACAAUAAUGAUGAUGACACCAGGUGGAAGAAGGCAUAAAGCCAACUAUUGCUCCGAGAACGGUGAAGAACUUGAAAUGUUAUCUGUGUUUCUCUUCUUUUUUUUCUUCUUUUUUUUUCGUUUUUUUCUGGGAAAGGGCUUUAGUAUCUGUGUUUCGUUUUUUGGUGUUUAUUUCUUAUGACUCUUAUUUGAUGCCAAGUGUACGUAAUCGUAAUUGCUCUGUUGACAUAUACAUUUGUCUGAGUUCAUUCAUUCUUAUACAUUUUUAUGAGUUCAUUUACAACUAUUAUUUUACUAUACCUAUUUGAUAGUUUUAAAAAUAUGUAAAAUGUGUUUAUAUGUUACAAUGAUACCCAAAGCGAAGGUUUCUAUUUCAUCAAUUGAUUCCCUAGCGAUCGUUAUUUUUUGCCAUCAUAUUUUUAAUAGUUUUCAUAAAAACAAAUACUGUCAUUUACUUUUUUUGAAUUCCACUUAUGCUACAAAGUUCUACUGUCUGAGUAUCUGACAUAGAUAAUCAUCAAUUGGUUAACAUAAAACAAUUUCUAACGUAUUUUACUAUAUUUUAAAAGAAACAAUAAAAUUUAAAUUUACUUUAAUUCUUUUAUGUAAAAUAACAUUUCAUCAUAAAGUACGAAAACAUAUUAUGUUUAUAGAAGAAAAAAUAGUUCUUUUAGAAGAUAAUUAAUACAAUUGGGCUAAAGCAUAUAUAUAUAUCUCUAAAUAUUAUUAUAGAUAUAAAUAUAGAAAUGUCUUGAAGAUGUCGAAAACAACUUUUAUUUUAGUCAUAAACGAAUCUUACCGCUGAUAACCCAUACAUGCUCAUAUUUUAUUAUGAAAAUCAAAAUUUAUAUAAAAGUAAAUAAAUCAAGUAAAUAACAGAAAAUUACGAUGUUAAUUGGUGGUAACUGGUAAGUGUUGAUAUGUCAAAACCUAGAUUCUAUGUCAUGUUGUUGAAAUCAUAUAAGAGAUUAUAUUCCCAUUUAUUUGGUUGUAAAUAAUUUUCUAGCCUACAUAAAUAAAAUUAAAAAAAUUAUUAAAAUGAAUUUUUCUUUACAACAAUCUUUGACUAAUUAAAAAUAUACAGAUAUGUGCAUAAUAAAUACAUAGCUUACUCUAUAAAUAUGAUUAAAAUCUCUGCCACCCAUAUUUCAUGUUUUUUAAGAAAGUGUUAGUUGUUUUUUUUAAAAAAAAAAGUCCUCUCUGUUUAUAGAACAAAAAAUAUUUAAUUUAAUUCGAAUGGAACUUCGAUCUCUUCAAAGAAACCAAUUGGUCUCCAAAUCUUGACAAAAACAUCUUGGUAACUGAUCCCUAAUAAACAAAAAAAAACAUUUUCAAUCUCUCCCCCCCCCCCGCGCCCCUCAGAAUCUGAAAUCAUAUACUUAAGAGUCAAGACCAAGCAAAAAACGGUUCAGAGAUGUUGAUAUUUGUUCCUAACAAAUAAUAGCAGCUAAUUUUAACAAAACUGAAUAUCACCCAACAUUAAACUUAAGAAAUAAGACCGAUGAACACUAGGAACAAUAUUCCAACCCGGAACACCUAUUUUCAAUCCAAUUGGAUGGCUAAUGUUUGGAUUGCUAAUUUCUCACCAAAGUUGAGAUGUCCUUUCUGGAAAUUAUGCAAAGGCCUUACGGCUGACGAGAACUUCAAAAAGAGUCAUAUACAUUAGUUGUUAGAUACAAGUUAUUCAAAAGUGACAAUUCAGAUGAUGAUGCCAUAGAAGCAAAAAUUCAAAACAAAAAUUACUUACAAACAAACAACAACUUAAAUUAAUAAAAUAGUAUAUAUCAAUACUAACCAAAUGUUCAAUACGCGACAUUUCUAUAUUGAAAAAGAAUUGUUAUGAAACUAAUAUGAUCUUUAUUAUGCCACCAAGAAAGUGUCAUCCCAAUAAUCUGUAAAAUCAAUGCAGUGAUUGUUAUUAGUAUAAACAAAUGGAAAAGUUCUUGGAGUUGGUUUUACGGUGAGUAACAAGUAACUACACUCAUUAACCACUACUCAGUUCUUAUAUUUUCUGGUUUCAAUGUUUUCUUAUUUUGAUUAGCUUUGCUUUACUACCUUCUUCGCAUUCAAUUAACACUAUACUUUUAAUAAGAAAUGCAACUCCAAAUAAUCACCACUCCACUCCAAUAGCAUGUCGAAAGACUAUGAUUUCAACGUAAAAUAUAAUUACUCUUAUAACAUACACAAAAAGUUACCACACUCCAAUCUUUCCGAACCUAAAAUAUUACGAACUACAAUUAACGCACCGAAUAUGUGAUCAAAUUUUUGUUAAAAAAAAUAACAUGAAGACCAUUUGGAGCCCCUACUGCAUAUUAAUGCCACAUCUCCUUAAUAUAGAAACUAUUAUUAUUAUUUUGACAAACAACUAUAGUAUACAAGAAAAAUACUAUAUUUUAUCAUGUAAUUCUUCUUCACCCGAAAUUUUCUAAAAGACAAAUAUCAUUAUCAUACACAUCUUUUGAAAUGCACACAUAAAACGCAAACCACAAAAUCAUACAAAAAAAUAAUAAUCUAAAUCACGAGUAAAAUAUAUCUCGCCCGUAGGGCGGGCCGAUUCUAGUUACUUAUAUAUAUCUUCAUUGUCUACUGCAUUUGUUCUUAUUCUUUCUUCUGUGAUUUUCAGUCCGAAGUAUUUGUCGUUGCCUUUGCUACUUGCAGCUGGAGCAGUGAUCCUCACACUAAAUGUAUCUUCUCCAAGGCGGUCUAUCUGCGGCCAUAAAAAGUUAGCAUUCUCUGACACAAUCCUCUGAAUUCGCUUAUGGGAGAUGCUUUUGAAUUCAAUUUUUUUUGUUGAUUUUCACUCCUUUUGUUUAUGUAUUGCAGUCAGCCCUCAUUCAAGCCACUGUGUACAAUCAUCUUAUCAACGCGGGUUCAAUAUAUUCCAUAAGCGGUUUUGAUGUGACUCAGAGCAAUAUGAACGACUCUCCUCUAUCGAUUUGACUCAACCGUCGAAUUGCGUCUCCACCGCCGAAGUGUGUGUCAUCAGAUUCUUGGAGGCUCUCCCUCUGUCUGUGAUCAUCUCUCUACCAGCUAUAUGAUUGUCCAUUGUAAUCUGUUUCUGUUUGAAGUUUGUCUUUGAACUUUGAUUUUUUUAUGCAGAUAAAAAAUGGGGAGAGGUGGCAUGAAAGAUAUGUUUGGAUGAUGUUGAGGUCAAGCUUGGAGAGCUAGAAGCUGAACUUUUUGUAAUCAAGGCUAUUAAUGACAAUCUGUGGCACCCUUACAAUGAACUUGUGGAGUUUAGGUAUCCUCGCAACUGUUCUUAUACAGGUAAAUCUGCAUCUUGGUUUAGGUCUCAGAUAAAUCGUUUCUUGGAAGUUUCAGGGGUCAUAUAGAGAGUGGAAGAGACCCUGAGAACUACUUGAAGUAUUCGGUUCAAGAUAUCGAGAGAAUCGUUCUUGAUUUCUUUGAAGAAUAUUCACACGUCACACCCGCCAAACUUGAGGAUACGAUGAAGAAGAAGAUUGGAGAGGUUACUUUCUCUCUUUUGUUUUGUUUUAUUUUUAUUUCUUGGUUCCCCAGCCAUGUUGGUAUGUUGUAGGAUAGAUCCAUUCUUUGAAUUUUUAAUCACGAGUUGGUGUUUUUACGCACCGUACCUAUUGUAUAAUCUCCCGUUUGUAUCAUCACAUCUCAGGUAGGAAACAAAGAUUCAGUAGUGCAGAUCAAUUGCGUUGGAGACAUGAGCGUUAAAAGUUUGCUGAAAGAUGGGUUCGUGUUCGAACAUGACUUCUUACAAGUUGUAGCUGCUGUCCACAUAGGAUGGAUACUGCUCUUUGUCUUUAUUUGUGGUAUCAAGUCCCUCAACUUUUAAAAGAAGGAAAAUAGAACCUUUGUACCAUAGUCUUUGAAAAUUGUCGUAUAUUUGUAAUUUUUCUUUUAUUAUUAUAUAUUGUUUCUAUUUGGUUAGUAACAACAACAAUAAUAGCCGUUUACGUUCACAAUAUUAUACUUUCGAUAGGAAAUAAUAUCUUCUCUUUCAAAACUAUGUAUUAUGCAUUAUUGGUAUUUAUAUGAAAGUUAUACCUUUUCAUACAACAUGAGCACAUCAUCAAUUUAGGUUUGACAUUUGUAUUAAUCUAUCUUUUUUUAACAAAAUGUUUAAAAAGGUCAAAUACUUCAUAAAUUAUCUUUUAUAAUUGAUUCAUUUUCAAUUAAAUAAAUUUAUUGACAUCAAUAUGUUAAAUAUAACAUUUUUUUACAGAAUUCAAGUAAUAAAAUGCAAAAUACAUAAAUUUCAAAAACAGAUAGAAAUUUCUUAUAAGAACAAAACAAAAUCUAUGUUUCUGUACAUUUCAUGGAAUUUAAAUUUUAUUUUCUGGUCAUAAAACUCAAACAUAGAAAAAUUAACAAAAAAUGAUAUAAAACAACCAAAAAAAUAUUACAGAUAUAACUUAAUAAUACAUAAAUUAUAAAAAUAAUUAUAAAGUUCUGCUGAAAAUC
Long non-coding RNA from Brassica rapa (field mustard), 5381 nucleotides. RefSeq lists it as uncharacterized. The record is from RefSeq and is a predicted model, not a curated record. NCBI's taxonomy places the organism in Eukaryota, Viridiplantae, Streptophyta, Magnoliopsida, Brassicales, Brassicaceae.